This is a long non-coding RNA of Daphnia carinata, 362 nucleotides long. RefSeq lists it as uncharacterized. The transcript is spliced from 3 exons. Lineage: Eukaryota; Metazoa; Arthropoda; Branchiopoda; Diplostraca; Daphniidae. The record is from RefSeq and is a predicted model, not a curated record.
GGGAGAGGAGGUUUGACGGAUGUGACCGUCGUUACUGAAAUUUCUCUUUAGAUUUCCUGCAUUUCAGAAAAUUCUUUAAAGGAGAACCUUGACUCGAGUGUCCUUGAUUACCAAGCAGGUAUUGCACAUUUCACAGCCUAAUGCGACCAACUAAGUAUACUUGCAGGUCUCUGCGAUGUACCUAAUGUGCUGUACUGGCUGUGGGAUCCUUCUGUGACAGAAAGGAGUAUUACCUGUGUUGUGGUUUCAGUGCAAAAUAUAACAUAUCUGGUAAUAUACUUGUUUGAUGAAUUGCAUCUUUUAAACAAAUCGUGGGGAAUUAAAAUUAAAAUUAGUUCAUUUUUUUCUCAGUAAUACCAUGG